Molecule: long non-coding RNA, 994 nt
Filed under: Helianthus annuus (common sunflower)
Lineage: Eukaryota; Viridiplantae; Streptophyta; Magnoliopsida; Asterales; Asteraceae
Description: hypothetical non coding rna
Source: RNAcentral
AUGAGUAUUUUGUAAAAUGCGUAAUUCGGUGAUGUUAAGUACGUGGAAGCGAGAGGAAUGAUCGAGGAUUAUUAUUGAGAGAGAUCGUAAUAUUCGGGAUGUGCUCAGGUUCAAAAUAUAACUCGGAGAUCCAAUAGAUGUGAUGCUACAAAGUUUAGGGGGCUUUGUUCACGGCUGAAUCAAAAAGUGAACAGAAGAUCCAAACCGUAGCCUACGGUUGUCAUGCGUAAGCUACGUUGGUUAGUGGGCCAUACAUCACGUGAUUGAAGGAGUCUACAUCAUCAAUUUUUAAUAUCAUCACACUCCAACAUCAUAUAUACAUAUUAAUUUUGACGGCUAUAUCUGGGAUUUUGAGAAUUGGACUUUUCAACUUCAUUAUUAUUGGAGGCCAUCAUUACAUGCAGAAGAUAUUAAAAAGUGGGAGGAACACAAUUUAGAUGAUAUGGAUUGGACUAUUUUGGCGGCACAUCUAGGAACAUUAUCAUACAUCACGUGAAUAAUGAGAAGGGUCUUAGACUUGGCGACUGGUUAGUGGGCCGACAUACAAGGUUUUACAUAGUCAACAAUUGACGACAUGGGGGCCCACCAUCAAUUGAUUAAAUGAGUAACACAAGAAGUCCAUAACAAUAAUCAAUCAUCAUCUCAUCGCAGACUUGAGGGUGCAUGUGAGGGUCUUGACCUUUGUGGAUUGGGCCGCCAACACAUGGGCUUUGACAGUAAGGGAUCAAAAGGGCAGUCGCCAUAUUCAGGGGUUUUUCUCGAGGGCACCAAUUAUAAUAAUACAAAGAGAUCAUCAUUCGUUCACAUCGACUAAGGUGGAGGUGGAGAUCAUUCAAUCCACAUGAGCGGCUAGUCUUUAGUGGUUUCCUUCGGAUGAAGGGUUUUUGUAAGUUAACUAAUUUUAUGUGUUUGGUGACAAUCGUUUGACUCAGUGAUCUAAGCAUUCGAUGCUUUUCACUUGUGAUUUAGUUGAUUAAUUGUAAUCGAUUGCAUU